GCCGGGUGGAUCCCAGUUCAACUCGAUUUGAAGCGGUUCAUUGUCGAAACUCAUAUAGGGCGAUUUCUGGGAACAACCCCCAUGUGCUUCACAAUCCAUUUAUUAUGUAGAUAUGAAAGGGGUCCCGCUUGCCAAGGUUAUGAUGCAAAAGGAAUAGCAUUCAGUUCCUUCCCUUAUGGUCCCAAAUAGAAAUUUUGCCAAACUGCUCCUUGUAGUACUAUGCAAUGUCUCAUCACAAGCACAUUCUAACUUUUGACGGGAACUUAUUUACUCGAAUUGCGUCAACCGAUUG
Molecule: long non-coding RNA, 292 nt
Filed under: Olea europaea (common olive)
Lineage: Eukaryota; Viridiplantae; Streptophyta; Magnoliopsida; Lamiales; Oleaceae
Description: long non-coding RNA (OEUR_LNC013334)
Source: RNAcentral